GUUUGCUACCUUUGACAAGAAUGGAGAUGGCUUCAUAACUAAGCAAGAACUGAGAGAGUCGCUUAAGAAUAUAGGAAUCUUCAUAACAGCGAAGGAAGUUGAAGAAAUGGUAGUGAAGUUUGAUUCUAAUGGAGAUGGAUUGAUAGAUUAUGAAGAGUUUUGUCUCUUGUGCGACUACUCCAAGGCAGGUGGUGAUCAGGAGUUGGGGGAUGAUGACAGUGGUGGUGGGAAAGGAAGAGCAGAAGAAGAAGGAGAUUUGAAGGAAGCAUUUGAUGUGUUUGAUAAGGAUAAAAAUGGGUUGAUAACGGUUGAAGAACUGGGAUUGGUGUUGUGUUCUUUGGGAUUAAAGGAAGGAAA
This 357-nucleotide unclassified non-coding RNA is filed under the name Hevea brasiliensis (rubber tree). Lineage: Eukaryota; Viridiplantae; Streptophyta; Magnoliopsida; Malpighiales; Euphorbiaceae. The record is from RNAcentral.